AGAACGAACGCUGGCGGCAUGCCUAACACAUGCAAGUCGAACGAGAUCCUUCGGGGUCUAGUGGCGCACGGGUGCGUAACGCGUGGGAAUCUGCCCUUAGGUACGGAAUAACUCAGGGAAACUUGUGCUAAUACCGUAUGAUGUCUUCGGACCAAAGAUUUAUCGCCUAGGGAUGAGCCCGCGUAGGAUUAGCUAGUUGGUGGGGUAAAGGCCUACCAAGGCUACGAUCCUUAGCUGGUCUGAGAGGAUGAUCAGCCACACUGGGACUGAGACACGGCCCAGACUCCUACGGGAGGCAGCAGUGGGGAAUAUUGGACAAUGGGCGAAAGCCUGAUCCAGCAAUGCCGCGUGAGUGAAGAAGGCCUUCGGGUUGUAAAGCUCUUUUACCCGGGAAGAUAAUGACUGUACCGGGAGAAUAGCCCCGGCUAACUCCGCGCCAGCAGCCGC
This 447-nucleotide ribosomal RNA is filed under the name uncultured bacterium. Its description in RNAcentral is "SSU rRNA". It matches the Rfam family "Bacterial small subunit ribosomal RNA", at positions 26 to 518 of the family's 1533-position model. The record is from RNAcentral.